UCCGUCGAUAGCUCAGUUGGCAGAGCGGUGGACUGUAGAUCCAUAGGUCGGUUCAACUCCGGCUCGAGAAA
RNAcentral lists this transfer RNA (71 nucleotides) under Nephila pilipes (giant wood spider). RNAcentral describes it as "tRNA-Tyr". The stretch from base 5 to 67 matches the Rfam family "tRNA". Rfam says of the family: Transfer RNA (tRNA) molecules are approximately 80 nucleotides in length. Their secondary structure includes four short double-helical elements and three loops (D, anti-codon, and T loops). The record is from RNAcentral. Lineage: Eukaryota; Metazoa; Arthropoda; Arachnida; Araneae; Nephilidae.